This 274-nucleotide ribosomal RNA is filed under the name uncultured bacterium. Its description in RNAcentral is "partial 16S ribosomal RNA". It matches the Rfam family "Bacterial small subunit ribosomal RNA", at positions 523 to 796 of the family's 1533-position model. The record is from RNAcentral.
AUACGGAGGGUGCAAGCGUUACUCGGAAUCACUGGGCGUAAAGCGCGCGCAGGCGGUCUUUUAAGUUGGAUGUGAGAGCCUACAGCUCAACUGUAGAACUGCAUCCAAAACUAUUAGACUAGAGUCUGGGAGGGGAAGAUGGAAUUAGUUGUGUAGGGGUAAAAUCCGUAGAGAUAACUAGGAAUACCAAAAGCGAAGGCGAUCUUCUGGAACAGUACUGACGCUGAGGCGCGAAAGCGAGGGGAGCAAACAGGAUUAGAAACCCUAGUAGUCC